Molecule: long non-coding RNA, 227 nt
Organism: Xiphophorus couchianus (Monterrey platyfish)
Lineage: Eukaryota; Metazoa; Chordata; Actinopteri; Cyprinodontiformes; Poeciliidae
Exons: 3
Source: RefSeq, a predicted model, not a curated record
GCUUGAGAACAACGUAUUGGAGUCUGUUUUAAGUCAAUAAUUCCUUAUUAUUGAUGAAAAAGUGCUAGUUCUAUUGGUAGAUUAUUUCACUUAUAACAUGGGAAAAUGUCUUAUUAGCUAGUUACAUACAUGUUUGUGAGUUUUGUCUUAUUGUAGGUGUCCUAAGAUGUUUGCAGUAGAAAUUAGACCAAUAAUACUGGGUAAUAUUUUGUGUUUUUGCAGUGUAG